Molecule: ribosomal RNA, 406 nt
Filed under: Helicobacter pylori
Lineage: Bacteria; Pseudomonadati; Campylobacterota; Epsilonproteobacteria; Campylobacterales; Helicobacteraceae
Description: bacterial LSU rRNA
Rfam family: Bacterial large subunit ribosomal RNA
Source: RNAcentral
AAAGAGCGUGUAAGGAUUUUUACAAAAAACGCAGGCACUUUUGCCAACUCGUAAGAGGAAGUAUAAGGUGUGACGCCUGCCCGGUGCUCGAAGGUUAAGAGGAUGCGUCAGUCGCAAGAUGAAGCGUUGAAUUGAAGCCCGAGUAAACGGCGGCCGUAACUAUAACGGUCCUAAGGUAGCGAAAUUCCUUGUCGGUUAAAUACCGACCUGCAUGAAUGGCGUAACGAGAUGGGAGCUGUCUCAACCAGAGAUUCAGUGAAAUUGUAGUGGAGGUGAAAAUUCCUCCUACCCGCGGCAAGACGGAAAGACCCCGUGGACCUUUACUACAACUUAGCACUGCUAAUGGGAAUAUCAUGCGCAGGAUAGGUGGGAGGCUUUGAAGUAAGGGCUUUGGCUCUUAUGGAGA